GAUGAACGCUGGCGGCGUGCCUAAUACAUGCAAGUCGAGCGAACAGACGAGGAGCUUGCUCCUCUGACGUUAGCGGCGGACGGGUGAGUAACACGUGGAUAACCUACCUAUAAGACUGGGAUAACUUCGGGAAACCGGAGCUAAUACCGGAUAAUAUAUUGAACCGCAUGGUUCAAUAGUGAAAGACGGUUUUGCUGUCACUUAUAGAUGGAUCCGCGCCGCAUUAGCUAGUUGGUAAGGUAACGGCUUACCAAGGCAACGAUGCGUAGCCGACCUGAGAGGGUGAUCGGCCACACUGGAACUGAGACACGGUCCAGACUCCUACGGGAGGCAGCAGUAGGGAAUCUUCCGCAAUGGGCGAAAGCCUGACGGAGCAACGUCGCGUGAGUGAUGAAGGUCGUCGGAUCGUAAAACUCUGUUAUUAGGGAAGAACAAAUGUGUAAGUAACUAUGCACGUCUUGACGGUACCUAAUCAGAAAGCCACGGCUAACUACGUG
Molecule: ribosomal RNA, 497 nt
Filed under: uncultured bacterium
Lineage: Bacteria
Description: partial 16S ribosomal RNA
Rfam family: Bacterial small subunit ribosomal RNA
Source: RNAcentral